This 427-nucleotide long non-coding RNA is filed under the name Carica papaya (papaya). Its description in RNAcentral is "long non-coding RNA (CPAP_LNC006453)". The record is from RNAcentral. Lineage: Eukaryota; Viridiplantae; Streptophyta; Magnoliopsida; Brassicales; Caricaceae.
UCGAGCUACGAAGUGGCCAAAUGGUAAGCUUUUAAGUUAAAACAUUCACCUUUAAAAUCUUAUGAUGUUCAUUUAAUAUUAUUUUCCUUAUUGAGCAUAUGGAAUUCACUCUUUCUAUCCCUCCCCCCAGAUGGGGAAGAAAAUGAGAAAUCGCAGGCUGACUUACCCUUUGAAGUCUGUGAGGAUCCUGUGGAUCCACAAAAUUUAAUUGCAUGAUUAUUUCCGCCUCUGAUGACUCUAAUAACAUAGUGAAAGAAGUGGCAUUCUUUUGUGUUUUGUUUUUGUAUUUUAUAGCCACUUUAGCCCUCAGUUAUAUGUAUGUAAUUGGAACUCAUACAUAUAUAUGUUUAUAAGGGAUUUAUAUUAAUUGUUCCGCUGCAUAAACUUUUAUCAUGCACUAAUUAUUCUAAAUCUGUAUCUGACACCC